GGAAUGUGUUGUUUUAAUUUCUCUGUGAAUAACUGCAGUCUAAUGCAACAGCUGGAGUUGUAACAUCUGUCCUGAUAUUGAUCAUGAAGUAUUGAUCAGAAUACUUAUGGUCAGCAGUCAUCCCUGAAGUUUUACAUUAAAAUCUUUACUUGUGUUGUGAACUUUGGUAAGAAGCAGAAACAUUAGCGUUGCCAUGGAUACAUGAGUGUUAAAUUCUGUCCAUGUUUCCAUUUUGGGAUGCAGUCCAGUUCCAGAAUGUGGAGGAUUUUAGUCUCACAAUCACAGACAACAAAUAUUAUCUGAAAGUCAGGUUAUUGUUGUUUAUCAGCACAAUACAAAAAGAUUAAUGUUAGAAAGAAUCCAGAAUUGGAGCUCAUAUCUUUGGCAGCUGUAAAGUUUCUGUUCCUUCAAAGUUCACAACACAAUGAAUAAAUUCCUAAAACACUCUCAAUGCUGGAGAGCGUUUGAUGCUGAAGCAAUGAUCAGUUUUUCUGUUUCUUCUCUGGAGAUGCACAAUGAGGGACGUCUGCAGAGACUGAGAAAGAGUCUCACCACAUCCUGACAUGAGGAAAAAGACUUUAUUGAAGACUACAAUGAGAAAAACUAUCAGGCAGCAGACGGCAUGCAUUCAAGGCUACAGGAGGAGCCCUACGAGGACGAGCCGGUCCACCUGAUGGCGGCCAGUCGCUGCGGUUCAAAGCCAACACCGACUACGUGGACUUCUACUGGACCACACGGAGGCCUUCAAACCGGACCAACAAGUUCAGCGACUCCCCGACUCGUGGGUCUGAGGACGCCGCCGAGCCUCGGUCCAGCCGGCCUCCUGUCUGUGGGUGUUUGAGUGCUGAGAGGUUUGUGGAUGCAUGUGAACGUGUCUGUGUUGAAACAGCAGCUUUUGACUCAGUAACGCUGGUAAAAACCAAGAGCUCCUUUAUUUGUGACUUCCACUAAAAAAUACUGAUGAAAAUAAGUUUGCCAGGGUUCUGACUGAUAACAGAUUAUUAAAUAAUGA
Amphiprion ocellaris (clown anemonefish) is the source of this 1012-nucleotide long non-coding RNA. The record is from Ensembl. NCBI's taxonomy places the organism in Eukaryota, Metazoa, Chordata, Actinopteri, Pomacentridae.